UACGAAGGGGGCUAGCGUUACUCGGAAUUACUGGGCGUAAAGGGCGCGUAGGCGGCUUGGUAAGUCAGGCGUGAAAUUCCCGGGCUCAACCUGGGGACUGCGCUUGAGACUGCUGGGCUAGAGGAUGGAAGAGGGUCGUGGAAUUCCCAGUGUAGAGGUGAAAUUCGUAGAUAUUGGGAAGAACACCGGUGGCGAAGGCGGCGACCUGGUCCAUUACUGACGCUGAGGCGCGACAGCGUGGGGAGCAAACAGG
Molecule: ribosomal RNA, 253 nt
Filed under: uncultured bacterium
Lineage: Bacteria
Also listed under: 1 other name
Description: partial 16S ribosomal RNA
Rfam family: Bacterial small subunit ribosomal RNA
Source: RNAcentral